RNAcentral lists this transfer RNA (73 nucleotides) under Neotoma lepida (desert woodrat). It matches the Rfam family "tRNA". From Rfam's summary of the family: Transfer RNA (tRNA) molecules are approximately 80 nucleotides in length. Lineage: Eukaryota; Metazoa; Chordata; Mammalia; Rodentia; Cricetidae. The record is from Rfam by way of RNAcentral.
GCCAAGCUAGCUCAGUGGGUAGAGUAUGAGACUCUUAAUCUUAGAAUCAUGGGUUCAUACCCCACAUUAUGUG